Molecule: long non-coding RNA, 209 nt
Filed under: Erythranthe guttata (spotted monkey flower)
Lineage: Eukaryota; Viridiplantae; Streptophyta; Magnoliopsida; Lamiales; Phrymaceae
Description: long non-coding RNA (EGUT_LNC002706)
Source: RNAcentral
GGGAUUUAUUGCAUUCAACACACACAGCUUGUUUUUCACCUAAUUCCAACUAAAAUAUUCGUGCCAUCAAUUAAUAUCAGCAAAAAAUCCAUACAAUGCAAUUAUUUUAGCACACUAGCUUCUAAAAAAUCUCAUUAUUUAGGGACUUUGUGCUAAAAAAAAUAUUAUAGGGAUUUUUUUCUUUUUUUGUUGAUAUUGUCAUUACGUAG